This 781-nucleotide ribosomal RNA is filed under the name Salmonella enterica. RNAcentral describes it as "partial 23S ribosomal RNA". It matches the Rfam family "Bacterial large subunit ribosomal RNA", at positions 850 to 1547 of the family's 2925-position model. The record is from RNAcentral. Lineage: Bacteria; Pseudomonadati; Pseudomonadota; Gammaproteobacteria; Enterobacterales; Enterobacteriaceae. RNAcentral also lists the same sequence under 1 other name.
UGGUUCUCCCCGAAAGCUAUUUAGGUAGCGCCUCGUGAAUUCAUCUCCGGGGGUAGAGCACUGUUUCGGCUAGGGGGCCAUCCCGGCUUACCAACCCGAUGCAAACUGCGAAUACCGGAGAAUGUUAUCACGGGAGACACACGGCGGGUGCUAACGUCCGUCGUGAAGAGGGAAACAACCCAGACCGCCAGCUAAGGUCCCAAAGUCAUGGUUAAGUGGGAAACGAUGUGGGAAGGCCCAGACAGCCAGGAUGUUGGCUUAGAAGCAGCCAUCAUUUAAAGAAAGCGUAAUAGCUCACUGGUCGAGUCGGCCUGCGCGGAAGAUGUAACGGGGCUAAACCAUGCACCGAAGCUGCGGCAGCGAACGUAUCACCCAAGACAACUUUACGGAGUUGACGAUUGACGGAGCGAAGCGACGUCAAAGCGUUCAUUAAAGUCGAGUUGGCUUAGGGAUACGUUCGUUGGGUAGGGGAGCGUUCUGUAAGCCUGUGAAGGUGUGUCGUGAGGCAUGCUGGAGGUAUCAGAAGUGCGAAUGCUGACAUAAGUAACGAUAAAGCGGGUGAAAAGCCCGCUCGCCGGAAGACCAAGGGUUCCUGUCCAACGUUAAUCGGGGCAGGGUGAGUCGACCCCUAAGGCGAGGCCGAAAGGCGUAGUCGAUGGGAAACGGGUUAAUAUUCCCGUACUUGGUGUUACUGCGAAGGGGGGACGGAGAAGGCUAUGUUGGCCGGGCGACGGUUGUCCCGGUUUAAGCGUGUAGGUGUGUGUUCCAGGUAAAUCCGGUU